Suricata suricatta (meerkat) is the source of this 2062-nucleotide long non-coding RNA. RefSeq lists it as uncharacterized. The record is from RefSeq and is a predicted model, not a curated record. The transcript is spliced from 2 exons. Lineage: Eukaryota; Metazoa; Chordata; Mammalia; Carnivora; Herpestidae.
AUUCUUUUCUUACAUUUUGAAGCUGUUGUGUCCUCAUGAGGAUUACUGGUCAUAUCAUCUGGCUGUUACCAUUUGAACUGCUUAUAAACUCUGGGCCAAAUCCUUUCUUGGUUACGUGCAUGCCAAAUAUCUUUUCCAAGUCAAAGGUACAGCUAGACAUCAGUCAGCCUUUAUUCCUUUAGUUCUAGAAAUGGACAAAAUUUUUAAAUUACACAGAAAACCAUAUUGCUGGAAAUCGAAGGACCCAAUCUAUUAUUUGAUAGCCGAACAAUGUGACUUCACGGGGGCUACCUCUCAACCCUUACAAGUACCAAGUAUCUUUUCACACGCCUUCUUCCUCCUCUUCUAAACAUACUGAGGUACGAGCGUAUUUCUGAGAAGGCCAUUGCUUAUGAAACGUUCUCGGGUUUACUCCAGGCCACGUAACAAUAAAACGCCGCCAUGUCCCCCAGCGCGUCUCUGAAGUGACGUGCAUGCAGGAAAGCCACAUCGCCAAGCGCUAGCUUGGGGUCUUCUCUGAACCCGGGAGAGACGUUGAUGAGUGGGUUGGUCCGCACUUUGACUGGAAGGCGAAAAGAAAAGCGAAUGCAAAGUGCUUCUUGUCUUCUGAAACCACUAGCUGUCACCUUCACAUCUUUCUGUUCUGUACUUUAAAAAGAGAAAAACCCCAAAUCAUUAGAAAACGCUGUGGUUACACAUGCUCUCGGCCAUCGGCAGGCAUCUGUCAGCCUUGGGCAAGAAAACUGAAGAUAACCAGUGGCCUUGCUGACCCUCAGCCCCUCCGUCCUUACGAUGACUGCGUAGGACUGCGUAGGACUGCGUAGGACUGCGUAGGACAAGGACUGUGGCCUUGUCAUUUUGCCUGUCUCCGAGGGCAUGCCAGGAAAAGCAUGUCACACAUUUGGAACUCAGACCUUUAAGAACCUUUUCAGAGAUUGGAGACUGGGAGGAGAAAGUUCUGGAAUGUUCUAUUCUAUUCCUUCGUCUCACCUACCCCUCCCAGGGCAGGAAGCUGGGGGCAGGGACCGGCAUGGAGACAGGACAUUUGAAUUCCCUGUUAAACAUUUACCAAGCAGCAUGGAAGCUGUGCCUAUGAAAGAUGGUUCCCAAGAAACUCAGAGGGAGAACACAGCUUCUCAGCGUGGACCUCGCUGUCUCUUGAUUCUUCGAGAUUUCUCUCUGAAAGUCUAAGGCUGGAAGGCUAUGGCCUCAGGGGAUUGAGGGCAGCUCUCCAGGGAGGGGAGGAACUAGUGAGGAGCCCACUGGGGAAAGGCAGAGAUUGGAUAAGGAGAAAAGAGAAAUGAGAGGAGGGCUUGCCCUUCAAGGAAAGAGCUUCCUGAAGGGGCCAGAGGACACAUUUUUAGGAUGGCCUUCAGGCACCUAUCAAAUGCUGAGCACAUCACAAAUUUGCAAAAGAUGGCUUGAGACUGACUAGAAUUCGCUCAUCUGGUGACCAGUGCUGGUUGAUGGGGUAGUGAAACCCCGGCUCCAUACCCUGUGCCCCCAUCUGCCUCUCCAGUCUCUCACCCUCGGGGCUGACAGACCUGGUCAAUGAGGAAGCCCUACAGAAGGGGAAGACGGGGUUCCCCUUUGCCCCAAGGGCGCCUUCUGAACCUCCUUUCCAGAGAAGGAAAGAAUACACUUGAACGAAAUCGGCCAACAAAUCGACCACUCUCUACCAUUGAGAGUCCGGGUUUGGGGUAACAUCUUCUGAGCCUGAGCCCCCAAAGCAGCCCCACGUGGAGAGCUCUCAGGAGUCUGGCCCCAAGGUCACUCCUACAGUCCUUCCCUCAGGCCGAAAGGACCUUUGCGCUCACCCUCCACGACCCAUGCUCCCAGCAUCGGCACCUGCGCCCUCCCCACUGGGGGGAGCUGGGAGCUGCUGGUGUGAGAGCCACAGUGAGGCUGAGAGGGAAGCCCAAUGUGUGGCUAUGUAAAUUAUAUGUUUUAAUAAAAUUCCCCCAUUAGGUUUUUCCCUUUGGGCUACUUCUUAGUCACCCUGUACUUUCCAGCUGCGUGCAUUUGUUCACUUAAUGAACAAAAUAAACAGAAAUAACUCGUA